Molecule: ribosomal RNA, 500 nt
Filed under: uncultured bacterium
Lineage: Bacteria
Description: partial 16S ribosomal RNA
Rfam family: Bacterial small subunit ribosomal RNA
Source: RNAcentral
AUUGAACGCUGGCGGCAGGCCUAACACAUGCAAGUCGAGCGGAUGAGAGGAGCUUGCUCCUCGAUUCAGCGGCGGACGGGUGAGUAAUGCCUAGGAAUCUGCCCAGUAGUGGGGGACAACGUUUCGAAAGGAACGCUAAUACCGCAUACGUCCUACGGGAGAAAGUGGGGGAUCUUCGGACCUCACGCUAUUGGAUGAGCCUAGGUCGGAUUAGCUAGUUGGUAGGGUAAAGGCCUACCAAGGCGACGAUCCGUAACUGGUCUGAGAGGAUGAUCAGUCACACUGGAACUGAGACACGGUCCAGACUCCUACGGGAGGCAGCAGGGGGGAAUAGUGGACAAUGGGAGCAAGCCUGAUCCAGCCAUGCCGCGUGUGUGAAGAAGGCCCUCGGGUCAUAAAGCACUUUAAGUUGGGAGGAAGGGCUUACAGCGAAUACCUGUGAGUUUUGACGUUACCGACAGAAUAAGCACCGGCUAACUUCGUGCCAGCAGCCGCCGUAA